GGCAACGCAGCCAGCUGAAACCGGCCUCCCAUCCACGUAUGAACCGGUUUAUCCUUGUCACCUCAUCCACAUGGUGGGAAAGACAGACAGGGACCGCAAGACAACGACCACAGGGAAGAUUACAAAAGGUACGCCUGUGUGUCAGACAGACAGGAAGAGACUGUGAGAAAGAGUCAGUGUGAAUACAAAUCACUGCACACAUCAAGGUUGAGUUGCCCAGAGUCGGUUCGCUCGGCAGUGUGGAGACCAAGGCAAAAAAAAAAAAAAAAGUGAUCGUAUUUUCACUGGAACAUCUUUUAUGCUUUCCUGGGUUGGCCUGGAUCUCUGUGAACAGGCUGCAUCAGCACAUUUCACUCCUUUGAUCCUUUUGGGGAAGAAAGGCACAGACUGAAGAGAGAUUCACAUUUGAGGUGUUGUGCUUCUACCAUUAUCACAUUAUAUUGGCUCUGUGGAAUUUAGGAUGAAAGGAGUAGAAGCAAAAGAGCUAACCGUUGCACAUCUUAGACCACCUACAGAGGCACCUGAAGCAAGCUGGCAUGCAUCUGUAAUAAAAUUAAAAGUGUAAGUGUAACCAGAUAACCUAAUCAAGGGCUUAAUGACCUCUGAGUGGGUGCUGUUUUUAGAGAUGAGCAGCUUUGUAUUUGAUGCUGCGAAGCCUCCCUGGUCAGUGUACUUUGUGGCCAGCAAACAGCUCGCUUCCCGACUUUAGUUUUCUCAUUUCCAAACUAAAUCCGUCUAUAAAUAGUAAAUGUAUUUGAUCCCUACAAGAGAAAACAUGCCUUGAAAAUAUCCACGAGACAGAAAUCUCAAACCAUGGUUAACACUGCAGAUCUACGUAAUGGUUUGGCUUACGAGGUACAGUAUCAAAUAGCACUGCCUCGCUGUGGAAAUGCAGUUUCCUUGUGCUUCGUGCCAGCUUUGGUUGACCCACUUCCUGUGGCCUGAUUGCCAGUUGUCAUGGUGAAGUGAAAGCAUUGUGAAAGGAAAAGGGGGCGAUUUGCCUGGAACCCAGAAUACAGAACCAUACCAGAUGACAUUUUGCUAAAUGAUGUUUAUUUGUUCUGCGGUGAGAGAGCGCCGCCGGUGUCCCAACACAAAGAAGAGAAGCAGGCUGGAGCUUUGUCUUCUGGCCUCAGUAACCUACUCUCAACUGAUGGUAAUCUCUCAACAGAAACCGGGAUAAAAAGCUUCCUGCUCAUCCUCGAAAGGCUUUGUAUUGACAGAUUUCUGUUAUAAAGUAUGAUAAACCCUGACCCUGAUCUAUUUAACUGUAUACUAAGUGAAAGGACAAUAAAGGCCAUGUGACUUUAAACUUAAAAGGUAUUAGUUCCACAUUUUUGGCGCUGUGGCUGGGAGUUGAGAAGACUGAUACCACUCUAAUGGCUGUACAGAAAAUAUAAUAGCCUUUUACCUACACACUACACACACACAGGGUUUUGAUGUUUUUGUAUUUUUUAAAAUAGUGAUGAAAUAAUGAAAUAUUAAUACAAUUCCAAAAAUAGCCUGGGAAUCUUCAUAUCUAAUGUCAAAUUAUGUGGAAAGUCUGUAACUGUUAAUGAUCAUAAAACUACAGUUUAUUUAAUAACAAAAAUCUAAUAAAAGGACCCUUCUGUAAA
Long non-coding RNA from Dicentrarchus labrax (European seabass), 1616 nucleotides. RefSeq lists it as uncharacterized. The transcript is spliced from 3 exons. NCBI's taxonomy places the organism in Eukaryota, Metazoa, Chordata, Actinopteri, Moronidae. The record is from RefSeq and is a predicted model, not a curated record.